CAAAGGAAGUGGUGAGGACCACUCGGGAAACUGCUUAAGCGCCAGCAUGCUAUAAUAAUGGACUCUCCAAAGCGAAUAAUCGAUGUUCGUUGCUGCAGGCUACGCAGCUAACCUUGAGGGUGCGAUGUACACUAGCCCCUCUCUGAAGCAGUGCCUUCUUGGUGGUUCCGGAGAGAUGAAAGGUUUUGCGACCAUGGGAAUGUGGUUUAGUUGUUUGAGGAGAGAGUAGUCCUGGCUUUUACUUUUGUUGUAGAAGACUGCCUUAUAACCCCACACUACCCGGACCUUCCUGUUCGGGUGUCUGUUGAGCAGAUUUUCCCCCCAUGGUUUAGAAGGAAAGGAAAUUUCCUUGACUUCCUUGGGCAUAGAGUAUCUUCGUACCUGCCACACGAUAUACACACAUAUAAAAUGGUCAUUGGCAGACAGUGGCGUAGCCAGAAAUUCGCUCUGGGAGGGGCUUUUGAUGUUCAAUAAUACCUUUGUUUUAUUUGUCACUCACUUUUCGUAAAUAUAAACACUCAAUUUGUGCCGUAGGUUAAAAAUUGCGGCGAAGUCAAUUUUUUUUUUUCAUCACAAAGCAUUUUAUGAUCCACAAAUAUUACAGCAACUGACAGCUCUUUGACAUUGACAGGUGUCACGUAACUGUCAGUUGCUGCAGAAUGCAACCAAUGUGCAUUCGAAAAACUUCGCAUUGCAACAAAAGUGCAUACCAUAAACAAAGCAUCGCUGUUGACAUUUCAGUUUGACGGAUAGCGGUGCGAUAACUGCAAAAUUUUUGCACUUAGCGGACUUGCAGUUAAAAAGCAUUGCAGUUAAAGCGUUUGCACCGAGCAAACGACUACUGUAAUUCUAAGGCUACGAGACUUGGACCAAGCAAACAUAAUUAUUGAAAUGAUAUUCUAAAUCACUGCGAAUUAGUGCUAAAUCUUCAAAUAUGAUUUGUUUAAUUUUUCAUCGAUAUUAUGUUUUGAACCAAGGCUUUUCUGAAAGGUUAGACCAUAAACUGAAACUCUGCGAAGGAAAAUUUUAGAUUAAUUCAAGUUUGAUAAUAUGUCUAUUCUUGGUAUGCGUGACGACUCAAAUAAUGCAAAAAUUGUCGAGAAUUAUUGACAAUAAAAAUAUUGUCAAUCCUGCUGUUUACCUUACUUAUUAUUUAUAAAAGGAGAUUGUGAGCGCAAAAAGCAACAGUUUCGAUUCAACCACUGACCUGUACACACCGAAUAUAAAUAUAAAGUCUAGUUUAGUAGUUUGAGUGAACAAACAGCGUCGUUUGCUUCGUAAGCAAGAGAGGAACUGCACUCCGGUUAGGAGAUACGUCUGUCCCGAGAGCAAAUACAACAUUUAUUAAAGCUGCUUGGAGGAGAAGCUGCUAUUGAUGUGAGGUUUAAGUUCGUCGGUGGUUUAAGCUCUGCGACACUUCCCGCUGGAAGCCAGAGCCUAUCUCAGGGCUCGCUCUAAUUUCCCUCCAUUCACAUUAAGCUACCGUUCCUGUGAUAAGACGUACGAUCAUCCGAUCGAUCUCUGUUCCUCCGACGAAACAGUACCUGAAAUCGCACCUGGGUCACCAUCUACCGAACUAUAAGACACAAAAUUCAGCACGUGCUAUGAACAUUACCAACAAACAUUUUGGCUAUGCAAGAGUGGAACAACCCACUCUUAAGCAAACUUUAGCUUAAGAAACUGUUAUUUAGCUAGUUAUGUUACUUAGGAUGACAUUUCAUCGCAUUCUCCUUUUCACCCUCUCAUAUCUUGAGUUAAGUUUACAUGAUCUUUGAAAAAUUAUAAAUUUCAUUGUUAACUGGAACGCUCCCCAGAAAAAAGUGCGAUGAAAACACCAGAUCUAACCGACACAUUUCCGCACUUUUAUUCACAAUUCCGUAUACUUAUGAGCGCGCUUAAGAUCUGCGCAAUGCGCAAUAAAAAGGGAAACAUUAUCACGUUUGACUGAAACUAAUAGGAAUAUAAUGGGUUUGUGAAGUUUAUUUUUAAACUACCUACGCGAGGCUAUUCUUAAUUUUUCUUACGCAUACAUUUCUCUCUUUUGUAUUUUUCAAAUCACGAGCCAACGGUGAACGUGUAAAACAUUUCAUGAUUGUUAUCUUUCAUAAUGGAAUAUUAUUUUUUCUUCGCUGUUAGUAAAUAACAAUAAAAAUGAACUACUGUAGAUGUAACCCUCAGUGCAAACCCUUUAACUGCAAUGCUUUUUAACUAAAAGUGCAGUUAUCGUACCGCUAUCCGUCGAAAUAAAACGUCAACAGGAAUGCAAUGCUUUUCGAAUGCACAUUGGGUGCAUUCUGAAACAACUGGCAGUUCUUUGACAUCUGUCAGUUAUUGCAGUUAUCGAAUUGCAUUCAAUAAGUGAAACGUAAACAUGCUGCAGUUAUCUAACGUCUAAUGUACUUACAAGUUUACAGCCACCAUUUGAUAACCUUUCAAUUCGGUAUCGUCUGUUGUCAUCGCUAAAUCUAAUUUACUAAAAUAGAAAAAAAUAAGUUAAUAACAUCUUAACAUGUUUGUCUUUCGCUUUGUUUAGACAAGCGCUAAAUAUGAACUCUGUCUUUGCUCCAGUAGGUAGUGGUGGGAAGUGCACAAAAUGGUCAAUAAGUGCGAAUCAAUGAGUUUACUUUUAUGAAGAUCAUCCUGUACGUUGUUUGCACCGAGCUGUGUGAUGUGGUACUGGAAAUCAUCCUGCCCGGUUUCAUCACUAUACCGUCCAGCAUCCAUUAUAGACUUUAGCUUUAUCGCUAUUUCAGCAUGGAAGGAGAAAUAACUGAUUGAUAGUCACACAAGAUUACAGAGGAUCCAUACCUGCCCUGUUCGAGAGAUAAAUGCUGCCACGAAAUCAGACACGUUAUUCUUACCUGUUCCUGAAAUGCAAACAACAGUACCGAUUUUUGAUGACGAUGGAAAUAAUAGAGGUAAUAAAAUGUGGAGAACGAAUAUCGCUGGUAUGAAUCUGCCCCACUAUUCCGAAAGCCAUUAUCCCAAAUAGGACGU
This is a long non-coding RNA of Aedes albopictus (Asian tiger mosquito), 2997 nucleotides long. RefSeq lists it as uncharacterized. NCBI's taxonomy places the organism in Eukaryota, Metazoa, Arthropoda, Insecta, Diptera, Culicidae. The transcript is spliced from 3 exons. The record is from RefSeq and is a predicted model, not a curated record.